This 456-nucleotide ribosomal RNA is filed under the name uncultured bacterium. Its description in RNAcentral is "bacterial SSU rRNA". It matches the Rfam family "Bacterial small subunit ribosomal RNA", at positions 32 to 501 of the family's 1533-position model. The record is from RNAcentral.
AAUCAACGCUGGCGGCGUGCCUAACACAUGCAAGUCGAACGCGAAAGCCCGCAAGGGUAAGUAGAGUGGCGCACGGGUGAGUAACACGUGGACAACCUGCCUUCGAGUGGGGAAUAACCUUCCGAAAGGAGGGCUAAUACCGCAUAACACCUCGGGACACAAGUUCUGGGGUUGAAAAGAGCAAUUUGCUCGAAGAGGGGUCCGCGCCUGAUUAGCUAGUUGGUGAGGUAACGGCUCACCAAGGCUUCGAUCAGUAGCCGUCCUGAGAGGGAGCACGGCCACACUGGAACUGAGACACGGUCCAGACUCCUACGGGAGGCAGCAGUGGGGAAUUUUGGCAAUGGGCGAAAGCCUGACCAAGCAACGCCGCGUGGGUGAUGAAGUAUCUUGGUACGUAAAACCCUUUCGGCAGGGACGAACCUAAUGACGGUACCUGCGGAAGAAGCCCCGGCUAAC